AGUGAACGCUGGCGGUAGGCCUAACACAUGCAAGUCGAACGGCAGCACAGUAAGAGCUUGCUCUUACGGGUGGCGAGUGGCGGACGGGUGAGGAAUACAUCGGAAUCUACUUUUUCGUGGGGGAUAACGUAGGGAAACUUACGCUAAUACCGCAUACGACCUACGGGUGAAAGCAGGGGAUCUUCGGACCUUGCGCGAUUGAAUGAGCCGAUGUGGGAUUAGCUAGUUGGCGGGGUAAAGGCCCACCAAGGCGACGAUCCGUAGCUGGUCUGAGAGGAUGAUCAGCCACACUGGAACUGAGACACGGACAAGACUCCUACGGGAGGCAGCAGUGGGGAAUAUUGGACAAUGGGCGCAAGCCUGAUCCAGCCAUACCGCGUGGGUGAAGAAGGCGUUCGGGUUGUAAAGCCCUUUUGUUGGGAAAGAAAAGCAGCAGGUUAAUACCCCGCUGUUCUGACGGUACCCAAAGAAUAAGCACCGGCUAACUUCGUG
This 492-nucleotide ribosomal RNA is filed under the name uncultured bacterium. Its description in RNAcentral is "partial 16S ribosomal RNA". It matches the Rfam family "Bacterial small subunit ribosomal RNA", at positions 29 to 507 of the family's 1533-position model. The record is from RNAcentral.